RNAcentral lists this unclassified non-coding RNA (395 nucleotides) under soil metagenome. Its description in RNAcentral is "partial contains 5.8S ribosomal RNA, internal transcribed spacer 2, and large subunit ribosomal RNA". The stretch from base 1 to 120 matches the Rfam family "5.8S ribosomal RNA", at positions 35 to 154 of the family's 154-position model. The record is from RNAcentral.
GAUGAAGAACGUAGCGAAAUGCGAUAAGUAAUGUGAAUUGCAGAAUUCAGUGAAUCAUCGAAUCUUUGAACGCACCUUGCGCCUUUUGGUAUUCCGAAAGGCACACCUGUUUGAUCGUCAUGAAUACCUCAAUCUCCAUCUUUUCUUCGGAUUGAUGGGUGACUUGGAUGUUGAGCCCUGCUGGUAUGCUAUAUCAGCUGGCUUUAAACUUAUUAGCCGGCUCUGUACUGGAUCGGUUUGACUCGACGUGAUAAUAUUAUCGUUGAGGAUGCAUGUCUCAUGCAGCCGGAAAGUAUCAAAGCAGCUUCUAGCUUGCCUUUAGUGCACUUUUACAUUUUAGACCUCAGAUCAGGUGGGACUACCCGCUGAACUUAAGCAUAUCAAUAAGCGGAGGA